RNAcentral lists this ribosomal RNA (447 nucleotides) under uncultured bacterium. RNAcentral's name for it is "bacterial SSU rRNA". It matches the Rfam family "Bacterial small subunit ribosomal RNA", at positions 355 to 825 of the family's 1533-position model. The record is from RNAcentral.
UGGGGAAUAUUGGACAAUGGGCGCAAGCCUGAUCCAGCCAUGCCGCGUGAGUGACGAAGGUCUUCGGAUUGUAAAACUCUUUUGGCGGGGACGAUAAUGACGGUACCCGCAGAAUAAGCCCCGGCUAACUUCGUGCCAGCAGCCGCGGUAAUACGAAGGGGGCUAGCGUUGUUCGGAUUUACUGGGCGUAAAGGGCGCGUAGGCGGCAUGACAAGUCACUUGUGAAAUCUCUGGGCUUAACCCAGAACGGCCAAGUGAUACUGUCGCGCUAGAGUGCAGAAGGGGCAAUCGGAAUUCUUGGUGUAGCGGUGAAAUGCGUAGAUAUCAAGAGGAACACCUGAGGUGAAGACGGGUUGCUGGGCUGACACUGACGCUGAGGCGCGAAAGCCAGGGGAGCAAACGGGAUUAGAUACCCUCGUAGUCCCUGAGCGGGCUGGCAAGGCGCAU